RNAcentral lists this ribosomal RNA (499 nucleotides) under uncultured bacterium. Its description in RNAcentral is "partial 16S ribosomal RNA". It matches the Rfam family "Bacterial small subunit ribosomal RNA", at positions 28 to 507 of the family's 1533-position model. The record is from RNAcentral.
GACGAACGCUGGCGGCGUGCUUAACACAUGCAAGUCGAACGGGCCCGCUCUCUUUUUUGGGGGUGGGUUGAGUGGCGAACGGGUGAGUAUCACGUGAGUAACCUGCCCCCUGCUCCUGGAUAACUGCUUGAAAGGGCGGCUAAUACGGGGUGUGCCGGCUGGUCCGCAUGGGCCUGGUCGGGAUAGUUUCAUCUUCGGGUGUUUCGGUGGGGGAUGGGCUCGCGGCCUAUCAGCUUGUUGGGGGGGUGAUGGCCCACCAAGGCGGUGACGGGUGGCCGGCCUGGGAGGGUGGGCGGCCAAGCAGGGACGGAGACACGGGCCAGACUCGUGGGGGAGGCAGCAGGGGGGGGUAUUGCACAAUGGACGGAAGCCUGAUGCAGCGACGGCGCGUGAGGGAUGGAGGCCUUCGGGUUGUGAACCUCUUUCUCCGGUGGUGAAGGCCCUGUCCGUUGCGGCGGGGUUGACGGUAGCCGGGUAUGAAGCGCCGGCUAACUACGUG